This 577-nucleotide long non-coding RNA is filed under the name Brassica napus (rape). Its description in RNAcentral is "long non-coding RNA (BNAP_LNC006108)". Lineage: Eukaryota; Viridiplantae; Streptophyta; Magnoliopsida; Brassicales; Brassicaceae. The record is from RNAcentral.
GUAUUUCCAACGGCCUCUUGUGCAUUCAUUUUUAGGGGUUUUACCCUUUAGCAAUCCGUCGUCUCCUCAAAUUUAAAAAGGUAAAAUAGUAUACCCUUAAAUUUGACAGUGGACUGUUUUUCUCCUUUAAACACUACUAGAUCUGGUCCCGCCCGACCGGACGGGUGUUUUUUUUCUGUUUACGUAAUGCAAUUAAAAAUUUUUACAUCAUUAUAUAAUGUAUCAAAAUUUUAAUACAAAUAAUGACAAAAAUACAUCACAUAAUACAAAUAUUGCUGUAACAUAAUUUGAUCACACGGUGGUAACAAAAUUGAUCCUACUGUGAUAAGGUAAUUUAAUUUGGGCCACAUUUCUAUUGAAAAUCAUUAAAAUAUGAUGAAAUAAAGAAUUAUGAGUUAGUAUGAUAUAUGAAAUAGAUAAAUAAAGUAUAAUUUUUUUACGGAAAUUAAUCUCUACUAAUAAAAGGGAGCUUUUGAGGCUCCAUAGGGCGUCCACAUCAGCGGAAAAAAAUUUUCUCGAAAGAUGACACGUGGCAUAAAAUAUAGUUUUACAUUUUAAUAUUAAUUAUUUUCGUAAU